RNAcentral lists this ribosomal RNA (497 nucleotides) under uncultured bacterium. Its description in RNAcentral is "partial 16S ribosomal RNA". It matches the Rfam family "Bacterial small subunit ribosomal RNA", at positions 28 to 507 of the family's 1533-position model. The record is from RNAcentral.
GAUGAACGCUGGCGGCGUGCCUAAUACAUGCAAGUCGAGCGAACAGACGAGGAGCUUGCUUCUCUGACGUUAGCGGCGGACGGGUGAGUAACACGUGGAUAACCUACCUAUAAGACUGGGAUAACUUCGGGAAACCGGAGCUAAUACCGGAUAAUAUAUUGAACCGCAUGGUUCAAUAGUGAAAGACGGUUUUGCUGUCACUUAUAGAUGGAUCCGCGCCGCAUUAGCUAGUUGGUAAGGUAACGGCUUACCAAGGCAACGAUGCGUAGCCGACCUGAGAGGGUGAUCGGCCACACUGGAACUGAGACACGGUCCAGACUCCUACGGGAGGCAGCAGUAGGGAAUCUUCCGCAAUGGGCGAAAGCCUGACGGAGCAACGCCGCGUGAGUGAUGAAGGUCUUCGGAUCGUAAAACUCUGUUAUUAGGGAAGAACAAAUGUGUAAGUAACUAUGCACAUCUUGACGGUACCUAAUCAGAAAGCCACGGCUAACUACGUG